AACUGCGAGUGAAGCGGGAAAAGCUCAAAUUUAAAAUCUGUCAGUCUUUGGCUGUCCGAGUUGUAAUCUAGAGAAGUGUUAUCUGCGCUGGACCGUGUACAAGUCUCCUGGAAUGGAGCGUCAUAGAGGGUGAGAAUCCCGUCUCUGACACGGACUACCAGGGCUUUGUGAUGCACUCUCAAAGAGUCGAGUUGUUUGGGAAUGCAGCUCAAAAUGGGUGGUAAAUUCCAUCUAAAGCUAAAUAUUGGCGAGAGACCGAUAGCGAACAAGUACCGUGAGGGAAAGAUGAAAAGAACUUUGGAAAGAGAGUUAAACAGUACGUGAAAUUGCUGAAAGGGAAACGCUUGAAGUCAGUCGCGUUGUCCAGGAAUCAACCUUGCUUUUGCUUGGUGUACUUUCUGGUUAACGGGUCAGCAUCAAUUUUGAUCAUUGGAAAAAGGUUAAGGGAAUGUGGCAUCCUUGGAUGUGUUAUAGCCCUUGAUUGUAUACAAUGGUUGGGAUUGAGGAACUCAGCACGCCGCAAGGCCGGGUUUUAACCACGUACGUGCUUAGGAUGCUGGCAUAAUGGCUUUAAUCGACCCGUCUUGAAACACGGACCAAGGAGUCUAACAUGCCUGCGAGUGUUUGGGUGGAAAACCCGAGCGCGUAAUGAAAGUGAAAGUUGAGAUCCCUGUCGUGGGGAGCAUCGACGCCCGGACCAGACCUUUUGUGACGGUUCCGCGGUAGAGCAUGUAUGUUGGGACCCGAAAGAUGGUGAACUAUGCCUGAAUAGGGUGAAGCCAGAGGAAACUCUGGUGGAGGCUCGUAGCGAUUCUGACGUGCAAAUCGAUCGUCAAAUUUGGGUAUAGGGG
RNAcentral lists this ribosomal RNA (851 nucleotides) under Cortinarius anomalus. RNAcentral describes it as "eukaryotic LSU rRNA". It matches the Rfam family "Eukaryotic large subunit ribosomal RNA", at positions 85 to 923 of the family's 3401-position model. The record is from RNAcentral. Lineage: Eukaryota; Fungi; Basidiomycota; Agaricomycetes; Agaricales; Cortinariaceae.